Molecule: long non-coding RNA, 521 nt
Organism: Lolium perenne
Lineage: Eukaryota; Viridiplantae; Streptophyta; Magnoliopsida; Poales; Poaceae
Source: RefSeq, a predicted model, not a curated record
CGACGACUGUUGGGCAAUCGGGGAGGGUCGAUGAGCCGAGACUGCGUCUUCCUGAACCGGUCGAUGUGCCGCAGCCGCAGCCCCAUCAUCAUCCAUGGAGAGAUAUUUGUUUUCAAACACGGCCGCAGGUGUUCCACCAUCCAAAUCAAUACAACAGCCAGCACCGUUUCACAACCAAGCGACUCAACCUGCAGUUAGAACAGCUGAGAACCUCUCGCUGCUGCUGCCGCAGGGAAGAUGAUAGAGCUCAUUUAUAUGGUAGAGUAUCAUGGCAAACUUUAAGCGGGGUUGUAUAUGGCGAGCAGGAGAUGGAACACCAGUAAACAUUUGGGAUGAUGCUUGGAUCCCCAUAAACCCAACAAAAAAUGAUGACACCGCGAGGAUCUAUUCUUGUUACAAUGGCGAGUGAUCAAAUAAACACUAUGGCAGAUUUAUGGGGCGAAGAUCUAACAUGUUCAUUGUAUUGGUCGGUGGAUGCAAGUCGUAUUCUUAGAAAUACCACUGCCUAUGAUUUUGUUGCA